Molecule: ribosomal RNA, 403 nt
Filed under: uncultured bacterium
Lineage: Bacteria
Description: partial 16S ribosomal RNA
Rfam family: Bacterial small subunit ribosomal RNA
Source: RNAcentral
AUUGAACGCUGGCGGCAGGCCUAACACAUGCAAGUCGAGCGAAAGGAGAGCGGGUGAGUAAUGUAUGGGGACUGCCCGUUAGCGGGGGAUCACUACUGGAAACGGUUGCUAAUACCGCAUUAUAUCUGAUAACCCAGAUGGGAUUAGCUAGUAGGGGGGGUAAUGGCUCACCUAGGCGACUAACCCUAGCCGGUCUGAGAGGAUGAUCAGCCACACGGGGACUGAGACACGGCCCAGACUCCUACGGAGGCAGCAGUAGGGAAUAUUGGGCAAUGGGCGCAAGCCUGAUGCAGCAAUGCCGCGUGUAUGAAGAAGGCUUUAGGAUUGUAAAGUACUGUCAGUCGGGAGGCGUUACCUACACAAGAAGCACCGGCUAACUCCGUGCCAGCAGCCGCGGUAAUUC